RNAcentral lists this ribosomal RNA (497 nucleotides) under uncultured bacterium. RNAcentral's name for it is "partial 16S ribosomal RNA". It matches the Rfam family "Bacterial small subunit ribosomal RNA", at positions 28 to 507 of the family's 1533-position model. The record is from RNAcentral.
GAUGAACGCUGGCGGCGUGCCUAAUACAUGCAAGUCGAGCGAACAGACGAGGAGCUUGCUCCUCUGACGUUAGCGGCGGACGGGUGAGUAACACGUGGAUAACCUACCUAUAAGACUGGGAUAACUUCGGGAAACCGGAGCUAAUACCGGAUAAUAUAUUGAACCGCAUGGUUCAAUAGUGAAAGACGGUUUUGCUGUCACUUAUAGAUGGAUCCGCGCCGCAUUAGCUAGUUGGUAAGGUAACGGCUUACCAAGGCAACGAUGCGUAGCCGACCUGAGAGGGUGAUCAGCCACACUGGAACUGAGACACGGUCCAGACUCCUACGGGAGGCAGCAGUAGGGAAUCUUCCGCAAUGGGCGAAAGCCUGACGGAGCAACGCCGCGCGAGUGAUGAAGGUCUUCGGAUCGUAAAACUCUGUUAUUAGGGAAGAACAAAUGUGUAAGUAACUAUGCACGUCUUGACGGUACCUAAUCAGAAAGCCACGGCUAACUACGUG